RNAcentral lists this ribosomal RNA (309 nucleotides) under uncultured bacterium. RNAcentral's name for it is "bacterial SSU rRNA". It matches the Rfam family "Bacterial small subunit ribosomal RNA", at positions 28 to 334 of the family's 1533-position model. The record is from RNAcentral.
GACGAACGCUGGCGGCGUGCUUAACACAUGCAAGUCGAACGCACGGCCUUGGGGUUUUCUUGGGGUUGGUGAGUGGCGAACGGGUGAGUAACACGUGAGUAACCUGCCCCUUCUUUGGGAUAACGGUCGGAAACGGCUGCUAAUACUGGAUAUUCACACAUUGUCGCAUGGUGGUGUGUGGAAAGCUUUUGUGGUGGGGAUGGGCUCGCGGCCUAUCAGCUUGUUGGUGGGGUGAUGGCUUACCAAGGCUUUGACGGGUAACCGGCCUGAGAGGGUGACCGGUCACAUUGGGACUGAGAUACGGCCCAG